AAGCCCCGUAAAGAGCUGCAGGUGAAGAGACAUGUAGGAUAACACCUAGCACAGCAGCCAGUGAAACACAGAGCAUGCAGCAGGUAAGUCCUAUUUUACCUAUUUAUUUUUAUUUAAGUUAUUACUUUCAGACUCAAUGUUCUAAAAUUAAACUCGUCACGUUGGCUCGCUGAGGCGCAUCCGAGAGGACGCAGCAUAACUCUGCUGAACACAUGCAAUGACUGAGGGCGGUUUGUGCUCUUCUCCAUGCGGGUUAAACUACUCUGGUGAAGUAAUGUAUGGUCUCCUUAUUUAAAAAAUGAAAAAAACCUCAUUACUCCACAGUGCUCAGCACGCUGAGAUAAAUAUCGCGAGACUACAUGUGUUGCGAAGCAGCUGACUGCGGUGGGUGGUGCCAGGGAGGAACUCCUAUCCGUAUCCAACAGUUACACACCCGAUAAUCCAAAAGAAUCUCCCGUUACAAUUUCAGUACUGUUAGCUACUGAUAAUAGUUGACACCGCGACAUGGCCGAGACGGAUCCCAAGUCGGUGCAGGACCUUACCAAUGUGGUCCAGACACUGCUGCAACAGAUGCAGGACAAGUUCCAAACCAUGUCAGACCAGAUCAUCGGGAGGAAUAUCCUAAGCAAUCAUGUGUUCAUUGAUUAAAAUGCAUGGGUAGUUAAGGAAUGUGAUGUCUCAAGGGUGGAAUAUCUGUACCCAUUCGAGUGUUUAAUUCUUAUGUGCCUUAACUGCUCCCCCACUCGACGAGAUGAGCACGCGCAUUGACGACUUGGAGAAGAACAUCGCCGACCUGAUGACCCAGGCUGGUGUCGAAGAGAUCGAGGCUGCACCGGAAAAAGCUAAAGAGGGUCCAGGCUCAUAGUGAAGGUUCCCAAGCAUCUCAGAGUGACGUUGGUCCCACAUUCAGGAGCAGCAGACUUAGGAUUCCUGAGAAACAACUUUUGAUUUAGUGUUGUGUGAAAUGCUUUUUUUUAUAUAUUGAAUAUUGUGAUAAAAACGGUUAGUCGUGUAAUGACUUAAAGUUGAUAGUCAUUUGUAAGUUAGAGUAGUGUGGAAUGCAACGACCCAGAGGUCAUCUCUGCCACCGUACACUAAUUAAUAAAAUGACAUGAUGGGGGCCGUUUAGCACCUUUCCUGUGCCGAGAGGUUCAACCUGCAUUCUUACAGGCCAGUGGAACCUCCAUCCCCCACCAACUUGGGAAAUAGGCGCAGUGAGCAUCUGAAGCUUGUGUUUUACAUACAGCACUGUUACUACCAAGCUGUGGGAUGCGUCCCAAUUUCCACAUUCUCUAUUAAAGCUAUUUAAUACAAUG
Molecule: RNA transcript, 1316 nt
Organism: Pungitius pungitius (ninespine stickleback)
Lineage: Eukaryota; Metazoa; Chordata; Actinopteri; Perciformes; Gasterosteidae
Gene: hsbp1b
Gene name: heat shock factor binding protein 1b
Exons: 4
Source: RefSeq, a predicted model, not a curated record